UUCUAUUUGGCACAGUGGUAAAGCUGUUGCCUUGUGACCAUGAGGUCACGGGUUCGAGUCCUGGAAGAAG
This 70-nucleotide transfer RNA is filed under the name Hordeum vulgare. RNAcentral's name for it is "tRNA-OTHER". The record is from RNAcentral. Lineage: Eukaryota; Viridiplantae; Streptophyta; Magnoliopsida; Poales; Poaceae.